This 1252-nucleotide unclassified non-coding RNA is filed under the name Leishmania donovani. RNAcentral's name for it is "gene:LdHU3.26.2650(CDS-product:hypothetical_prote in_conserved)". Lineage: Eukaryota; Euglenozoa; Kinetoplastea; Trypanosomatida; Trypanosomatidae. The record is from RNAcentral.
AGCACGCGGUAUCAAACCCGCAGCCAACCCUAUUCGCCUCUCCCGUGCCCCGGUGUGGACGUGCGCGCCAACGGCAUCUCUUUUUUUGUUCGUGCGGAAACCGCGAACACUUCCACUUACGCAGCGACGCAACCCUCCGCCACGGCCACUCGCAGUCUUCCUCCCCAGCCCCCCUACCUGCCAUCACAUCCCUGCCCUCUUUUCAGGUCUUGGCAGGAUGGGGCGUAGCAACAAUCAGCGUCGCAGAACUGCCAAGGCACGAGGAAAGCCGUUCAUUCCAAAGACGGUGAAGAGCAAGGUGCGCAAUCAGAACCGCCGUAUGAAGAUUAUGGCGGCCAAGAAGGACCCACGGCUGCACAAGAAGCUUUCCUACGACAAGGUCCACACGAAGUCGGGAAAGAUCACGCAGCGCAAGUUCCAGUCCGGUGGCUACAACCACAGCGGCAAGUUCGGCAAGGCGGCUGGAGCGAAGCGGAACGCCGCGAAGGGGAAGAUAAAGUAGUUUGAGCGCUUCGGAGUAGCGAAGCGCUGAAGCUUGUGUGCGCGGGGGUUUUGUGCCAUGGUGAGUUGGCGCUGCGUCUUGUACGGGGCCGAUCUCUCUCUCUCUCCGCCUGCUCGUGCUCGCUUCUUUUGUUGCCGCGUGAGUGACGUCGCUGGCGACAACCACCAGCUUAUGAUCUAUGGGCCCGAUGGACGACGCUGAGCAUAGGUAGAGAGAGAGAGGCGGCAACAAGCUACAGCGCUUGUGUGGGUAGGUGUGCAUCACUUGUAACACUAUACUGUCAAGACAAAAGACGAGAAGCAACGCGUACCUCCCCAAACGAAAAAAAAAGUGUGCGGGAUGGAAGUUGAAGGCAGGGACAGGGCAGCCCGAUAAAGAGCGUAAGAGAGCGAGAGAGAGAGAGGAUGGAGACAAAGGGUGGGAAGGGAGAGGAGGAGCACACACCCACACCCGCAGAGGCACAGCGCAGAGGUCGCUGCUGAAUCGCUGACGGAAGGAUCAAAGCCACGGGAAAACACCAAAACAGCUCUCUUUCUCUCACCAUACCUCUCCCCUGCGGCUGGGAUGCGUGCAUCGAUGGAGCGGCCUGCUCGACCCGUGCUGCUCGACAAUGAGACUCCCCACCAGCUCUCUCCCUCUCUGACACGUAUGCGAAGACGUUCAUGACGGCGACGCGCUACAGCGUCUCCAUCUUUCUCUCUCUAUCUCGCUUUCUGAUGUAAUGCUGCGCAUGUGUGUCUCUUCCUGCAG